UGUGUCCCAUCGUCCCCCGUGUGUGUCCACGACUGGCUCCUGGGCGAUACUACGUCCGUGAGGGUGCACCUCACGCCCCCAUGUCCGGCUCUCUCUUCCAGCCCUGUCCCGUGUGUGUGUCCCUCCACCCCUCGCCAUGUACGCGUGUGCAAAGUUCGUCUCCGCUCCUGCACUAGUGAGGAAGAGCUCGCGGGUGCUGUGCCGGCCCCUCUCUGCCUCCGUGCUGAGCAGCCCUGAGGCCCGGACAGAGCAGGCCCGGCAGGGCGCCCAGAGCCAGCCUGCCUGCCGGGGCCUCCAGACCAGCACGGGC
Non-coding RNA from Struthio camelus australis, 310 nucleotides. Lineage: Eukaryota; Metazoa; Chordata; Aves; Struthioniformes; Struthionidae. The record is from RefSeq and is a predicted model, not a curated record.